AGAAUGCAAGUCGAACGCUGAUUGACGGGUAGCAAUAUUCGUCAGUCGGAGUGGCGCAAGGGUGCGUAACACGUGGGUAAUUUGCCGUGAAGUUUGGGAUAACUCGCUGAAAGGCGAGCUAAUACCGGAUGUGAUCGUUGGGAGGCAUCUUUUGACGAUCAAAGUUGGGGACCGAAAGGCCUGACGCUUCACGAUAAGCCCGCGGCCUAUCAGCUAGUUGGUGAGGUAACGGCUCACCAAGGCGAAGACGGGUAGCUGGUCUGAGAGGACGACCAGCCACACUGGAACUGAGACACGGUCCAGACACCUACGGGUGGCAGCAGUCGAGAAUUUUUCUCAAUGGGGGAAACCCUGAAGGAGCGACGCCGCGUGGGGGAUGAAGGGCUUCGGCCUGUAAACCUCUGUCAUUUGCGAACAAACCCUGUGUGUUAAGAGCAUGCAGGCUGAUUGUAGCGAAAGAGGAAGGGACGGCUAACUCUGUGCCAGCAGCCGCGGUAAUACAGAGGUCCCGAGCGUUGUUCGGAUUCACUGGGCGUAAAGGGUGCGUAGGCGGUGAUGUAAGUUUGAUGUGAAAGCUCGCAGCUCAACUGCGAAAUGGCAUUGAAUACUACAUUGCUAGAGGCUUGGAGGGGGGACUGGAAUUCUCGGUGUAGCAGUGAAAUGCGUAGAUAUCGAGAGGAACACCAGUGGCGAAGGCGAG
Molecule: ribosomal RNA, 700 nt
Filed under: uncultured bacterium
Lineage: Bacteria
Description: bacterial SSU rRNA
Rfam family: Bacterial small subunit ribosomal RNA
Source: RNAcentral